CCUACGGGAGGCAGCAGUGAGGAAUAUUGGUCAAUGGUCGGGAGACUGAACCAGCCAAGCCGCGUGAGGGAGGAAGGUACAGAGUAUCGUAAACCUCUUUUGUCAGGGAACAAAGGCGGGGACGUGUCCCCGGCUGAGUGUACCUGAAGAAAAAGCAUCGGCUAACUCCGUGCCAGCAGCCGCGGUAAUACGGAGGAUGCGAGCGUUAUCCGGAUUUAUUGGGUUUAAAGGGUGCGCCGGCGGUCUGUUAAGUCAGCGGUCAAAGCCCGGGGCUCAACCCCGGCCCGCCGUUGAAACUGGCAGUCUCGAGUGGGAGAGAAGUAGGCGGAAUGCGCGGUGUAGCGGUGAAAUGCAUAGAUAUCGCGCAGAACUCCGAUUGCGAAGGCAGCAUGCCGGCUCCACACUGACGCUGAGGCACGAAAGCGUGGGUAUCGAACAGGAUUAGAUACCCGAGUAGUC
This 459-nucleotide ribosomal RNA is filed under the name uncultured bacterium. Its description in RNAcentral is "partial 16S ribosomal RNA". It matches the Rfam family "Bacterial small subunit ribosomal RNA", at positions 338 to 795 of the family's 1533-position model. The record is from RNAcentral.